UACGGAGGGUGCAAGCGUUAUCCGGAUUCACUGGGUUUAAAGGGUGCGUAGGUGGGCAGUUAAGUCAGUGGCGAAAUCUCCGGGCUUAACCCGGAAACUGCCAUUGAUACUAUCUGUCUUGAAUAUCGUGGAGGUAAGCGGAAUAUGUCAUGUAGCGGUGAAAUGCUUAGAUAUGACAUAGAACACCAAUUGCGAAGGCAGCUUACUACCCGAAUAUUGACACUGAGGCACGAAAGCGUGGGGAUCAAACAGG
RNAcentral lists this ribosomal RNA (253 nucleotides) under uncultured bacterium. RNAcentral's name for it is "partial 16S ribosomal RNA". It matches the Rfam family "Bacterial small subunit ribosomal RNA", at positions 524 to 776 of the family's 1533-position model. The record is from RNAcentral.